GGCGCUGUGGCUUAGUUGGUUAAAGCGCCUGUCUCGUAAACAGGAGAUCCUGGGUUCAAAUCCCAGCAGUGCCU
RNAcentral lists this transfer RNA (74 nucleotides) under Perca fluviatilis (European perch). It matches the Rfam family "tRNA". From Rfam's summary of the family: Transfer RNA (tRNA) molecules are approximately 80 nucleotides in length. Their secondary structure includes four short double-helical elements and three loops (D, anti-codon, and T loops). Further hydrogen bonds mediate the characteristic L-shaped molecular structure. tRNAs have two regions of fundamental functional importance: the anti-codon, which is responsible for specific mRNA codon recognition, and the 3' end, to which the tRNAs corresponding amino acid is attached (by aminoacyl-tRNA synthetases). tRNAs cope with the degeneracy of the genetic code in two manners: having more than one tRNA (with a specific anti-codon) for a particular amino acid; and 'wobble' base-pairing, i.e. permitting non-standard base-pairing at the 3rd anti-codon position. RNAcentral also lists the same sequence under 3 other names. Lineage: Eukaryota; Metazoa; Chordata; Actinopteri; Perciformes; Percidae. The record is from Rfam by way of RNAcentral.